RNAcentral lists this ribosomal RNA (301 nucleotides) under uncultured bacterium. Its description in RNAcentral is "partial 16S ribosomal RNA". It matches the Rfam family "Bacterial small subunit ribosomal RNA", at positions 509 to 809 of the family's 1533-position model. The record is from RNAcentral.
CAGCAGCCGCGGGAAUACGAAGGGGGCUAGCGUUGUUCGGAUUUACUGGGCGUAAAGGGUGCGUAGGCGGAUUGUUAAGUCAGGGGUGAAAUCCCAAGGCUCAACCUUGGAACUGCCUUUGAUACUGUUUGUCUUGAGUUCGAGAGAGGUAAGUGGAACUGCGAGUGUAGAGGUGAAAUUCGUAGAUAUUCGCAAGAACACCAGUGGCGAAGGCGGCUUACUGGCUCGAAACUGACGCUGAGGCGCGAAAGCGUGGGGAGCAAACAGGAUUAGAUACCCCCGUAGUCCCUGUCUCUUAUAU